RNAcentral lists this ribosomal RNA (253 nucleotides) under uncultured bacterium. Its description in RNAcentral is "partial 16S ribosomal RNA". It matches the Rfam family "Bacterial small subunit ribosomal RNA", at positions 524 to 776 of the family's 1533-position model. The record is from RNAcentral.
GACGGAGGGUGCUAGCGUUGUUCGGAAUUACUGGGCGUAAAGGGCGCGUAGGCGGCUUGUUAAGUCGGGUGUGAAAGCCCUGGGCUUAACCUGGGAACUGCAUUUCAGACUGGCGAACUAGAGUACGGUAGAGGGCGGUGGAAUUCCCUGUGUAGCGGUGAAAUGCGUAGAUAUAGGGAGGAACAUCAGUGGCGAAGGCGGCCGCCUGGAUCGAUACUGACGCUGAGGUGCGAAAGCGUGGGGAGCAAACAGG